AUGCAUUCAAAUGAGGCCCCGCAAUGGGGGGUGGGGGUGGCUGCUCCCAUUGUGAUCUGUCACACCGAAGGGGCCAGCCUAGCACCCGGAAUGGGAGGCCUGAGGGGAGAGGUUAAAAUCUCAGCUGCCCAGAGAGAUGAUUACGGAGCUGCUCGCAAAUUAAGCUGCUUCACUGCUGAGAAACCUGUUUCAGCUGCCACAGGAACAUCAGGAUUUGUCUGCUCUGGAUUUGCUGAAUGCAGACAUCUUUAUGUAGCCAGCCAUCGUCAUAUCUCCGGGGCCUCCAUGUCACUGCUUCAUCCGUUGACUACACAAUUAAACACGUCUGGGAGUCAGGUUAUCGUCAUGGGCAAGAGCACUGAGAGUCAGCCAGUUCUGGAUUACAGUCUUGGCUCCUUCACUUUCUUAUUACUAUGACCUUGGGCAAAGUUACUUAAAACCUCUGAGCCUUAGUUUUCUUACCCAUACAAUGAGGGUAAUAAACAUAGAGCAUAUCUACCUCUUAAGGUUAUUGUGAAGAUGAAAUGAGAGAGAUGAAUGUUUUAGGUUGAGCUACAUGAAAUUAUCAAUUUGUGACCAUUUGGACCAAUAAAGCAAUUUUACAUGGUUCAUACUAAUAAAUGGCUUAGCAAAGUACCUGAAUUCUAUCAAAGAUUUAACAGUAAUAACAAUUUACAGA
RNAcentral lists this long non-coding RNA (679 nucleotides) under Ailuropoda melanoleuca (giant panda). RNAcentral describes it as "lncRNA (ENSAMEG00000027464.1)". Lineage: Eukaryota; Metazoa; Chordata; Mammalia; Carnivora; Ursidae. The record is from RNAcentral.